AUUGAACGCUGGCGGCAGGCCUAACACAUGCAAGUCGAGCGGAUGAAGGGAGCUUGCUCCUGGAUUCAGCGGCGGACGGGUGAGUAAUGCCUAGGAAUCUGCCUGGUAGUGGGGGAUAACGUCCGGAAACGGGCGCUAAUACCGCAUACGUCCUGAGGGAGAAAGUGGGGGAUCUUCGGACCUCACGCUAUCAGAUGAGCCUAGGUCGGAUUAGCUAGUUGGUGGGGUAAAGGCCUACCAAGGCGACGAUCCGUAACUGGUCUGAGUGGAUGAUCAGUCACACUUGAACUGAGACACGGUCCCGACCCCCACGGGAGGGAGCAGGGGGGAAUUUUUGGCAAUGGGCGAAAGCCUGACGCCGCCAAGGCCCGUGUGGGAAGAAGGGCUUUGGAUUUUAAAAGCCUUUUAGUUGGGGAGAAAGGGUGUGAAGUUAACUCUUUGCGUUUUGACGGUACCCAAUCAAAAAGCCACCGCCAACUUCGGG
Molecule: ribosomal RNA, 484 nt
Filed under: uncultured bacterium
Lineage: Bacteria
Description: partial 16S ribosomal RNA
Rfam family: Bacterial small subunit ribosomal RNA
Source: RNAcentral